GACGAACGCUGGCGGCGUGCUUAACACAUGCAAGUCGAACGGAAAGGCCCUGCUUUUGUGGGGUGCUCGAGUGGCGAACGGGUGAGUAACACGUGAGUAACCUGCCCUUGACUUUGGGAUAACUUCAGGAAACUGGGGCUAAUACCGGAUAGGAGCUCCUGCUGCAUGGUGGGGGUUGGAAAGUUUCGGCGGGUGGGGAUGGACUCGCGGCUGAUCAGCUAGUUGGGGGGGGAGUGGCUUACCAAGGCUUUGACGGGUAGCCGGCAUGAGAGGGUGACCGGCCACAUUGGGACUGAGAUACGGCCCAGACUCCUACGGGAGGCAGCAGUGGGGAAUAUUGCACAAUGGGCGGAAGCCUGAUGCAGCAACGCCGCGUGCGGGAUGACGGCCUUCGGGUUGUAAACCGCUUUCGCCUGUGACGAAGCGUGAGUGACGGUAAUGGGUAAAGAAGCACCGGCUAACUACGUG
RNAcentral lists this ribosomal RNA (468 nucleotides) under uncultured bacterium. Its description in RNAcentral is "partial 16S ribosomal RNA". It matches the Rfam family "Bacterial small subunit ribosomal RNA", at positions 28 to 507 of the family's 1533-position model. The record is from RNAcentral.